Molecule: ribosomal RNA, 470 nt
Filed under: uncultured bacterium
Lineage: Bacteria
Description: bacterial SSU rRNA
Rfam family: Bacterial small subunit ribosomal RNA
Source: RNAcentral
GACGAACGCUGGCGGCGUGCCUAACACAUGCAAGUCGAGCGGAGACAGUGAGUAGCUUGCUACGAGCUGUUUUAGCGGCGGACGGGUGAGUAACGCGUGAGCAACCUUUCCCAGACAGGGGAAUAACACACCGAAAGGUGUACUAAUACCGCAUAAGACCACGGUUUCACAUGGGACUGGGGUAAAAGAUUUAUCGGUUUGGGGUGGGCUCGCGUCCGAUUAGGUAGUUGGUGAGGUAACGGCCCACCAAGCCGACGAUCGGUAGCCGACCUGAGAGGGUGAUCGGCCACAUUGGGACUGAGACACGGCCCAAACUCCUACGGGAGGCAGCAGUGGGGAAUAUUGGGCAAUGGAGGAAACUCUGACCCAGCAACGCCGCGUGGAGGAAGAAGGUUUUCGGAUCGUAAACUCCUGUCCUUGGAGACGAGUAGAAGACGGUAUCCAAGGAGGAAGCCCCGGCUAACUACGUG